CUAAUUUGAUUAAAAAAUUAAAUCAGAUUUAAAUCUAAUUUAAUUUGAUUAAUUUAAGCUCUUGAUUGGAUUAAUACCUAUUUUAAUUAGGUUGAUUUAGUUUUGAUUUGAUUUGAUUUGAGAAACCAAAUUUGAACAAGUCAUAGAUUUAAUCCUAUUAAGACUAGGAUUCCUCCUUGCGCCACCUUAGCCCCCCACGCCCACUCUCUCUUAUUUUGUAUGACAAAACCAUCUCUCCC
Molecule: long non-coding RNA, 239 nt
Filed under: Elaeis guineensis (African oil palm)
Lineage: Eukaryota; Viridiplantae; Streptophyta; Magnoliopsida; Arecales; Arecaceae
Description: long non-coding RNA (EGUI_LNC056771)
Source: RNAcentral